RNAcentral lists this ribosomal RNA (1287 nucleotides) under metagenome. RNAcentral's name for it is "bacterial SSU rRNA". It matches the Rfam family "Bacterial small subunit ribosomal RNA", at positions 242 to 1520 of the family's 1533-position model. The record is from RNAcentral.
UAGCUAGUUGGUGAGGUAAAGGCUUACCAAGGCGACGAUCUGUAGCGGGUCUGAGAGGAUGAUCCGCCACACUGGAACUGAGACACGGUCCAGACUCCUACGGGAGGCAGCAGUGGGGAAUUUUGGACAAUGGGGGCAACCCUGAUCCAGCCAUGCCGCGUGAGUGAAGAAGGCCUUCGGGUUGUAAAGCUCUUUCGGCCGGGAAGAAAUCGCAUGGGCCAACACCCUGUGUGGAUGACGGUACCGGAAUAAGAAGCACCGGCUAACUACGUGCCAGCAGCCGCGGUAAUACGUAGGGUGCGAGCGUUAAUCGGAAUUACUGGGCGUAAAGCGUGCGCAGGCGGUUUUGUAAGACAGGCGUGAAAUCCCCGGGCUUAACCUGGGAACUGCGUUUGUGACUGCAAGGCUAGAGUACGGCAGAGGGGGGUGGAAUUCCACGUGUAGCAGUGAAAUGCGUAGAGAUGUGGAGGAACACCAAUGGCGAAGGCAGCCCCCUGGGUCGAUACUGACGCUCAUGCACGAAAGCGUGGGUAGCAAACAGGAUUAGAUACCCUGGUAGUCCACGCCCUAAACUAUGUCAACUAGGUGUUGGGUGGGUAAAACCAUUUAGUACCGUAGCUAACGCGUGAAGUUGACCGCCUGGGGAGUACGGCCGCAAGGUUAAAACUCAAAGGAAUUGACGGGGACCCGCACAAGCGGUGGAUGAUGUGGAUUAAUUCGAUGCAACGCGAAAAACCUUACCUACCCUUGACAUGCCAGGAACUUGCCAGAGAUGGCUUGGUGCCCGAAAGGGAGCCUGGACACAGGUGCUGCAUGGCUGUCGUCAGCUCGUGUCGUGAGAUGUUGGGUUAAGUCCCGCAGCGAGCGCAACCCUUGUCGUUAAUUGCCAUCAUUUAGUUGGGCACUUUAACGAGACUGCCGGUGACAAACCGGAGGAAGGUGGGGAUGACGUCAAGUCCUCAUGGCCCUUAUGGGUAGGGCUUCACACGUCAUACAAUGGUCGGUACAAAGGGUUGCCAAGCCGCGAGGCGGAGCCAAUCCCAGAAAGCCGAUCGUAGUCCGGAUUGCAGGCUGCAACUCGCCUGCAUGAAGUCGGAAUCGCUAGUAAUCGUGGAUCAGCAUGUCACGGUGAAUACGUUCCCGGGUCUUGUACACACCGCCCGUCACACCAUGGGAGCGGGUUCCGCCAGAAGUAGGUAGCCUAACCGCAAGGGGGGCGCUUACCACGGCGGGGUUCGUGACUGGGGUGAAGUCGGAACAAGGUAGCCGUAGGGGAACCUGCGGCUG